CAAAAAGUAGCUUAUUAUAAAGCAGUCAACUUACAAUUGAACAACGUUAAGAAACCAUUUGACCUUUUUGC
RNAcentral lists this transfer RNA (71 nucleotides) under Shinisaurus crocodilurus (Chinese crocodile lizard). Its description in RNAcentral is "tRNA-Val". The record is from RNAcentral. Lineage: Eukaryota; Metazoa; Chordata; Lepidosauria; Squamata; Shinisauridae.